CCUACGGGAGGCAGCAGUAGGGAAUAUUGCUCAAUGGGCGAAACCCUGAAGCAGCAACGCCGCGUGCAGGAUGAAGGUUUUCGGAUUGUAAACCCCUUUUUUUAGAGAAGAAAAUGCCGGUAUCUAACUAAUAAUGACCGGAUAACACCGUGCCAGCAGCCACGGUAAUACGGAGGGUGCAAGCGUUACGCGGAAUCACUGGGCGUAAAGCGGGCGUAGGCGGGUUAACAAGUCAGUGGUGAAAUCCUAGGGCUUAACCAUAGAACUGCCUUUGAAACUCAUAGUCUAGAGUAUGGGAGAGGUAGGUGGAAUUCUUGGUGUAGGGGUAAAAUCCGUAGAGAUCAAGAGGAACACUGAUUGCGAAGGCGACCUGCUAGAACAUAACUGACGCUGAGGCGCGAAAGCGUGGGGAGCAAACAGGAUUAGAUACCCUGGUAGUC
This 440-nucleotide ribosomal RNA is filed under the name uncultured bacterium. RNAcentral describes it as "partial 16S ribosomal RNA". It matches the Rfam family "Bacterial small subunit ribosomal RNA", at positions 338 to 795 of the family's 1533-position model. The record is from RNAcentral.